This 809-nucleotide ribosomal RNA is filed under the name uncultured bacterium. RNAcentral's name for it is "bacterial SSU rRNA". It matches the Rfam family "Bacterial small subunit ribosomal RNA", at positions 8 to 796 of the family's 1533-position model. The record is from RNAcentral.
AGAGUUUGAUCCUGGCUCAGAAUCAACGCUGGCGGCGUGCCUAACACAUGCAAGUCGAACGCGAAAGUGGAGCAAUCCAUGAGUAGAGUGGCAAACGGGUGAGUAACACGUGGGUGACCUGCCUUCGAGUGGGGGAUAACGUCCCGAAAGGGACGCUAAUACCGCAUAAUAUACCGCCUUUUAAGAGGGGGAUAUCAAAGCUGGGGACCGCAAGGCCUGGCGCUUGAAGAGGGGCCCGCGCCUGAUUAGCUAGUUGGUGGGGUAAUGGCUCACCAAGGCAACGAUCAGUAUCCGGCCUGAGAGGGCGGACGGACACACUGGGACUGAGACACGGCCCAGACUCCUACGGGAGGCAGCAGUGGGGAAUUGUUCGCAAUGGGCGCAAGCCUGACGACGCAACGCCGCGUGGAGGAUGAAGACCUUCGGGUCGUAAACUCCUUUCGAUCGAGACGAAUGGCCCCUGGGUUAAUAGCCCGGGGGAGUGACGGUACCGAGAGAAGAAGCCCCGGCUAACUCCGUGCCAGCAGCCGCGGUAAUACGGGGGGGGCAAGCGUUGUUCGGAAUUACUGGGCGUAAAGGGCUCGUAGGCGGCCAACUAAGUCAUACGUGAAAUCCCUCGGCUUAACCGGGGAACUGCGUCUGAUACUGGAUGGCUUGAGUUCGGGAGAGGGAUGCGGAAUUCCAGGUGUAGCGGUGAAAUGCGUAGAUAUCUGGAGGAACACCGGUGGCGAAGGCGGCAUCCUGGACCGAUACUGACGCUGAGGAGCGAAAGCCAGGGGAGCAAACGGGAUUAGAUACCCUGGUAGUCC